Molecule: unclassified non-coding RNA, 279 nt
Filed under: plant metagenome
Description: partial contains small subunit ribosomal RNA, internal transcribed spacer 1, and 5.8S ribosomal RNA
Source: RNAcentral
UUUCCGUAGGUGAACCUGCGGAAGGAUCAUUAUUGGAUGACAAAAUUACGAAUCCUGUCCCUUGCUUUGGCUGCCCGCCACGCCCGCGUGCCCACACACACAUUCAUCGCACCCCUAUGCGCACCACCUGGAUCAUCACCCCAUGCACUACUCGUAACAGCGCUUCCCUUUUCACACGCACUUUUUAUGCACGGAACAAUGUAUAUUUUCUCUUUUCUGUCCCGCAAUCAAGACAUCUUUCAACAACGGACCUCUUGGCUCUCGAAUCGAUGAAGAACC